UAGGAUGUGUUAGGUGAGAAAAGUUAAACAUGAAGCAGUUAUGCCAACCGAACCAAAGUCAGGCCAAGAAAGGCUGCUGAGAAAGUCUCUGAAAGUAGAAUGAAGGAAUACUUGUUUAAGUUACAGAGAGUGAGAAAAAAGGGGAGGCCUGCAUUCCUGCAUUUUUGUACCAGAUAUUCUGGGAACAGUCCUUGAGAUACGGGGGCACUGUUUUCCACUCCCUAUUUUUGUGUUAUGUCUGUUCUUAACUCCUCGUCUCCUGGUUGACACCCAUACCGAUAAGAAAGUUAGUGAAGCAUUAUGAUUUGCUAAAAGUUAUCUACAAUAAGGGGGUAGAAGUGCAUGCAUAAUAGAGAAAGAGGAUUUUUAACUAACAUGGGGGGGGCUGCUUUAUGAAUAAAUCUGUGAUGCAACUAGACUGUCUAUAAAUACCUACUAGUUUUAUUUAGAGGCGGCUGGUUCUCUUUGGAGACUGGCUGCUCUCUAUUGUGUGUGCACUCUUCAAUAAAGAGCUUUGUGUUCGGACCUUGCUGGUGUUGCCUGUCUCUCUCUGGUCAGACAAGGAACCGUGCCAUCUGGGGUUCGAGUCCUCGACAAUUUGGUGACUCCGCUGGGACCCGUCUGACUCUCCGGCGUGGGAUCAGACUCUAAAGCAACGCAGCGCGCAUCCUCCGGUUUCAAGGAGCCUUGCCAGUGAUCUGAUCCCUGCGUCAGCGAUAAGGCAUGCUCUGUGAACCAGCAGGAGCCCAUAGAAAUCCAGCAACGUUCACCUAUCCUUUGAGUAGGAUCCAGAUCCAGGUCUUCAGGGCUCGAGUCCCUGGAGAAGGUGACUGGGUCUACAUAAAGGUCCAUCAAUGAAAGAUUACUCUGGCCCCAUGCUGGAAAGGCACUUAUUAAGUGCUGCUAAUUACCAACACCGCUGUGAAGUGCCAAGGACUGACUGCCUGGACCCAUGCGUCUUACUGCAAAAAGACCCCUCCACCUCGAGAUGACUUCAUUCGAUACUGCUCAGCCUGUCUCUCCUUCUGGGUUUUUUCUUUCCUCCUUUUGAUCAUCAGGGGAAAGGACAAGAUGAAGUGCUAGUAACCUCUCCCUUGUCCCUGACAAAGCUAACCUGCAUUGCGCAGCUAGGGAACCUAACCUGGAAAAAGGUUCCCCAGAAGCAGACGGCAUCGGACUUCAAGGGAGCUACGCAUGUUCACCUCACCGUGAACCAGGUGAAUCAGAAGCAGAUGACAUCUGUGCUCAAGACAAAUGGAUUGCCACCCCUUUGGGCAACCUGAAGCUCCGACUGCAGCUAAAAAAACCUUGAGUUGGUGGUGUCCACUCAGAGAGGGAUGGCCCUGUUCUUUAGGCUGGGUUUAUGUGUUUUUAAUCUGUUUGUUAUUUGUUAUCUUUCUUUUUUGGUGGUACGGGGAGUUGAGACUAUAGAAGCACACAGAUCUAACACAUUUAUACGUCUUGCCCAUGAAAUGAAAGCUCGUAUGCCAGCCUACAAAACACUUCAUGCUGGGUGUGCUCAUUAAUACCAGCAGAUAGCCGAAAAGGUCUUCCCAUGGUUCCUAUUCCUCUAAGUGCAAUGAAUAUGACCUAGACCCCGUCUUGGAAGGAUUCUUCAGGCAAUUUAAAUAUUACCUAGGCCGAUACUGGCAUCUCUGAAAGCAGGUAUUUAAUAGUAUGGAAAUGAGUGUUGGUCAAUGGUGCCUCUUAAAAGAAGGGAAAAUAGCUAUGGGUAAUAGUGAGUGGAAAGCCUACUUUAAUGGCACUCAUUUUGGGAGUAAGAGAGGUCCUAAUAUCUCUCUCUUGGAUGGGGCAACCUCUUGCAUCUCUGCGUGGCAUAGAGUUGCGGGUAACAAGUGCAGUCUGCGUGGAGAAGAACAUUUUCUGUAUAAAGAUCAUACAUUGAUUGAGCAUUACGUUAUAAAUUGCAUGCUUGGGUAUAACUUGCCAACUCAUACUAUGUGUUUAUGUUCCUCUAACACCUCCGCGGCUAAAUUAUCCCUUCUCCCAUCUUGGACCGGAUGGUAUAAAAUUAUUAAUAAUACCUGGUCCAAAGUCAUUCCUACCCUUUUUGGAGUAUACCGGAUGUGUGGUAACAAGGCAUACCUAGCCCUCCCUCCUUCAUGGAGUAGAUCCUGCUAUUUGGCUUGGGUAGAACCACCUGUCGUAUAUCAUGCACACCUUACUAAAGGGAAAAUCAGAAAUGUAAGAGGGGCUGAGGAAGAUGUUAAGGACUCCCACUCCCUUACUUGGCGUGCCUUAAAUGAUUGGAUGGGUGCUUGUGCGGGAUUUGUCUUCGCCUGUGGAGGUGCCACCUGGUGUAUUGGAGAUAAUGGCAAAUACCAUUGCUGAUGCCUUGGUAGAUUUGGCAACCGAACAAAAAAAACUAAGGUGGAUGGUUCUCCAAAACCGCUUGGCAUUAGAUAUUUUGCUGACCUCUCAGGGAGGAACACGUGCAUUAAUUGGGCAAGAAUGCUGCGUAUAUGUUCCGGAUGUUUAUAACGCCACCUGGGAAAGAGCAAACCAUCUUAUACAAGUUGCAAAAGACCAUGGAGGAGAGCGAGGAGAGCGAGUCAUGGUGGAGCAAUUUGUUCAAUUGGGUUCCAGAUAUAGGUGGCUGGUUACAUAAGUUGCUUCACUGUGCCGCUGUAAUUAUUUGUGGCCUAAUAGUUUUGUAUGUUAUGUUAAGAUGUAGCUGUUGGAUGGGUACCAAGCUGUGCCCUACCAACCAGUGAAUAGUCCUAAGUCACUACACACAGUGGCCAGUAUGUCCCAAGAGUUCCCCUAUGGCACUCUGGGGAUAAAGGGGGGACUGUUAGGUGAGAAAAGUUAAACAUGAAGCAGUUAUGCCAACCGAACCAAAGUCAGGCCAAGAACGGCUGCUGAGAAAGUCUCUGAAAGUAGAAUGAAGGAAUACUUGUUUAAGUUAGAGAGAGUGAGAAAAAAGGGGAGGCCUGCAUUCCUGCAUUUUUGUACCAGAUAUUCUGGGAACAGUCCUUGAGAUAUGGGGGCACUGUUUUCCACUCCUUGUUUUUGUGUUAUGUCUGUUCUUAAAUCCUCAUCUCCUGGUUGACACCCAUACCGAUAAGAAAGUUAGUGAAGCAUUACAAUUUGCUAAAAGUUAUCUACAAUAAGGGGGUAGAAGUGCAUGCAUAAUAGAGAAAGAGGAUUUUUAACUAACAUGGGGGGGUGGGCUGCUUUAUGAAUAAAUCUGUGAUGCAACGGGACUGUCUAUAAAAACCUAUUAGUUUUAUUUAUGGCUUAUUUAUGGCGGCUGGUUCUCUUUGGAGACGGGCUGCUCUCUAUUGUUGUGUGAACUCUUCAAUAAAGAGCUUUGUGUUCGGA
This is a long non-coding RNA of Dermochelys coriacea (leatherback sea turtle), 3345 nucleotides long. RefSeq lists it as uncharacterized. The transcript is spliced from 2 exons. Lineage: Eukaryota; Metazoa; Chordata; Testudines; Dermochelyidae. The record is from RefSeq and is a predicted model, not a curated record.